Molecule: ribosomal RNA, 495 nt
Filed under: uncultured bacterium
Lineage: Bacteria
Description: partial 16S ribosomal RNA
Rfam family: Bacterial small subunit ribosomal RNA
Source: RNAcentral
GACGAACGCUGGCGGCGUGCCUAAUACAUGCAAGUCGAACGCUGAAGGAGGAGCUUGCUUCUCUGGAUGAGUUGCGAACGGGUGAGUAACGCGUAGGUAACCUGCCUGGUAGCGGGGGAUAACUAUUGGAAACGAUAGCUAAUACCGCAUAAGAGUAGAUGUUGCAUGACAUUUACUUAAAAGGUGCAAUUGCAUCACUACCAGAUGGACCUGCGUUGUAUUAGCUAGUUGGUGGGGUAACGGCUCACCAAGGCAACGAUACAUAGCCGACCUGAGAGGGUGAUCGGCCACACUGGGACUGAGACACGGCCCAGACUCCUACGGGAGGCAGCAGUAGGGAAUCUUCGGCAAUGGACGGAAGUCUGACCGAGCAACGCCGCGUGAGUGAAGAAGGUUUUCGGAUCGUAAAGCUCUGUUGUAAGAGAAGAACGAGUGUGAGAGUGGAAAGUUCACACUGUGACGGUAUCUUACCAGAAAGGGACGGCUAACUACGUG